GGGGGGAGCAAGCGUUGUUCGGAUUUACUGGGCGUAAAGGGCGCGUAGGCGGUCGUGACAAGUCACUUGUGAAAUCUCCGGGCUUAACUCGGAACGGUCAAGUGAUACUGUCGGACUAGAGUACAGAAGGGGCAACUGGAAUUCUCGGUGUAGCGGUGAAAUGCGUAGAUAUCGAGAGGAACACCUGCGGCGAAGGCGGGUUGCUGGGCUGAUACUGACGCUGAGGCGCGAAAGCUAGGGGAGCAAACAGG
RNAcentral lists this ribosomal RNA (251 nucleotides) under uncultured bacterium. Its description in RNAcentral is "partial 16S ribosomal RNA". It matches the Rfam family "Bacterial small subunit ribosomal RNA", at positions 527 to 776 of the family's 1533-position model. The record is from RNAcentral.